ACUCAAAUGAAUUGACGGGGACCCGCACAAGCAGUGGAUCAUGUGGUUUAAUUCGAUGUUACACGAAAAACCUUACCAACUCUUGAAUCUCGAUAGCGGGCUAAGAAAUUAGCCUUCGGGUUAAGCCGGAUCGAAGACAGGUGUUGCAUGGCCGUCGUCAGCUCGUGUCGUGAGAUGUUAGGUUAAGUCCUUAAACGAGCGCAACCCUCAUCCUUAUUUGCCAUCGGGUUAUGCCGGGAACUAUAUGGAAACUGCCAGCGACAAGCUGGAGGAAGGUGGGGACGAUGUCAGGUCAUCAUGGCCCUUAUGGGUUGGGCUACACACAUGAUACAAUGGUGAUUACAGCAGGAAGCAAAGGAGCAAUCUGGAGCGAAUCCCUAAAAGUCAUCUCAGUUCAGAUUGAGGGCUGCAACUCGCCCUCAUGAAGAUGGAAUUGCUAGUAAUCGUGGAUCAGCAUGCCACGGUGAAUACGUUCUCGGGUCUUGCACACACCGCCCGU
RNAcentral lists this ribosomal RNA (499 nucleotides) under uncultured bacterium. RNAcentral's name for it is "partial 16S ribosomal RNA". It matches the Rfam family "Bacterial small subunit ribosomal RNA", at positions 899 to 1397 of the family's 1533-position model. The record is from RNAcentral.